RNAcentral lists this ribosomal RNA (465 nucleotides) under Vreelandella stevensii. RNAcentral describes it as "partial 16S ribosomal RNA". It matches the Rfam family "Bacterial small subunit ribosomal RNA", at positions 338 to 795 of the family's 1533-position model. The record is from RNAcentral. Lineage: Bacteria; Pseudomonadati; Pseudomonadota; Gammaproteobacteria; Oceanospirillales; Halomonadaceae.
CCUAUGGGAGGCUGCAGUGGGGAAUAUUGGACAAUGGGGGCAACCCUGAUCCAGCCAUGCCGCGUGUGUGAAGAAGGCCCUCGGGUUGUAAAGCACUUUCAGUGAGGAAGAACGCCUGGUGGUUAAUACCCAUCAGGAAAGACAUCACUCACAGAAGAAGCACCGGCUAACUCCGUGCCAGCAGCCGCGGUAAUACGGAGGGUGCGAGCGUUAAUCGGAAUUACUGGGCGUAAAGCGCGCGUAGGUGGCUUGAUAAGCCGGUUGUGAAAGCCCCGGGCUCAACCUGGGAACGGCAUCCGGAACUGUCAAGCUAGAGUGCAGGAGAGGAAGGUAGAAUUCCCGGUGUAGCGGUGAAAUGCGUAGAGAUCGGGAGGAAUACCAGUGGCGAAGGCGGCCUUCUGGACUGACACUGACACUGAGGUGCGAAAGCGUGGGUAGCAAACAGGAUUAGAUACCCUAGUAGUC